RNAcentral lists this ribosomal RNA (115 nucleotides) under Providencia rettgeri. RNAcentral describes it as "partial 23S ribosomal RNA". It matches the Rfam family "Bacterial large subunit ribosomal RNA", at positions 1 to 114 of the family's 2925-position model. The record is from RNAcentral. Lineage: Bacteria; Pseudomonadati; Pseudomonadota; Gammaproteobacteria; Enterobacterales; Morganellaceae.
GGUUAAGCGACUAAGCGUACACGGUGGAUGCCUAGGCAAUCAGAGGCGAUGAAGGACGUGCUAAUCUGCGAUAAGCGUCGGUAAGGUGAUAUGAACCGUUACAACCGACGAUUUC